GGAUACCCGUUUAAGUGAGGGAAAGUUUAAUUAUAAAUUUCCUUUCUUAUUUCUUUUUCCCGAACCCGACUUAAACCUUUAACCGAGCUCUUCCUCCCCUCUCUGCCCCGACGCGAUCCCGAUCUCCCCUCCCUUCUCUCUGUUCUCUCUUGCGGACGAAGCAGCCGACGGUUCCGGCGGCUGUCGACCUCGACGGAAACCAGUGGAGUCACCGGAGCUUGCUGGAGCACGACGGGAUUGGUGGAGUACCGAUCUCCUUCGAUCGAGGGGUUGCGGUUCGGUGGAUUCAACGAUCGAUCGUCGGCGAUACGGCAACUAGGGCACGGCGGGGGGUUGAUUCGUGUUGUCUCCUAGCCAAUCGACCUUCCCUUUCCUUUCCUCGCACUGCUCACAGUGCGAUCCAUCUCUUCCUUGGCCGGAUCUGGAUCGAGCCGUGCCACCCGAUCACCGGCGUGGAAGGGGCGAUUAGGGCUUCAAUGGGUCUCGGUGGAAGAUGAUGGGAUCCUUUGAGCUGUCGGCAGAGGCUAGGAGAGUUCUUGCUUGAUUGGUGAUCCCCACCGCUUGACCUCCUGCUUGAUCAGAUUGAUAGCAGCAAGGUGAGGUCUUGUUCUGUUCUUGCUGUGGAGUUGUUCUUGGUUCCGGCAACACUUCAACCAGUAGCUUCUCUGGUUCCAGCAAUCAACAGCAAUUGGAUCGAGGACUCUGAUUCGAGACGAGCAUCUCGAUAUUGGAUCAGGACCGGAUUGUACCUUCUAUUU
Long non-coding RNA from Zingiber officinale, 758 nucleotides. RefSeq lists it as uncharacterized. The transcript has 3 exons. The record is from RefSeq and is a predicted model, not a curated record. NCBI's taxonomy places the organism in Eukaryota, Viridiplantae, Streptophyta, Magnoliopsida, Zingiberales, Zingiberaceae.